UACGUAGGGGGCGAGCGUUGUCCGGAAUCAUUGGGCGUAAAGAGCGUGUAGGCGGCUUGGCAAGUCCGCUGUGAAAACUCGAGGCUCAACCUCGAGACGUCGGUGGAAACUGCCUCGCUAGAGUCCGGAAGAGGAGAGUGGAAUUCCUGGUGUAGCGGUGAAAUGCGCAGAUAUCAGGAGGAACACCGGUGGCGAAGGCGGUUCUCUGGGCAUUACCUGACGCUGAGGAGCGAAAGUGUGGGGAGCGAACAGG
Molecule: ribosomal RNA, 253 nt
Filed under: uncultured bacterium
Lineage: Bacteria
Description: partial 16S ribosomal RNA
Rfam family: Bacterial small subunit ribosomal RNA
Source: RNAcentral